CUCCUAUGGGGGGCAGCAGUGGGGAAUUUUGGACAAUGGGCGCAAGCCUGAUCCAGCUAUUCCGCGUGUGGGAAGACGGCCUUCGGGUUGUAAACCACUUUUGUAGAGAACGAAAAGUCUAUUGAUAAUACCGAUAGAUGAUGACGGUACUCUAAGAAUAAGCAUCGGCUAACUCCGUGCCAGCAGCCGCGGUAAUACGGAGGAUGCGAGCGUUAUCCGGAUUUAUUGGGUUUAAAGGGUGCGUAGGCGGGUUAUCAAGUCAGCGGUAAAAUCGUGGAGCUCAACUCCAUCCAGCCGUUGAAACU
Molecule: ribosomal RNA, 305 nt
Filed under: uncultured bacterium
Lineage: Bacteria
Description: bacterial SSU rRNA
Rfam family: Bacterial small subunit ribosomal RNA
Source: RNAcentral